CGCGGCUGCUGUGGAGGCGGCGGUGCAGUUUGAGGUGGAUGUACUGGGUGAACUUCGUGCUGCACAGCUUGCACUGGUGAUGUUUCUGGAGAUGGGCCAGCUGAGUGAAGCUCUUUUUACAUAAAUUACACUGGAACGGUCUCUCACCACUGUGCACUCGGAGAUGGACCUACAAUUACACAGAUUGGCAAACUACCUGGGUCUCUCCAGCCAAUUAGGGCCCAUCUGCACAGCACGCCAUGCAGGCCAGGCCAAAGCCAGCCACCGUAGGGGCCCAGCCAACCGGUCGGGCCUCUGCAAAGCUCAGCGAUGGCUCAGGCUGUCUGAGGCCCCACAUAUUUGCUUCCAUAACAGCCCAUCUGCCUGUAGCUUGGCCUGGUCCACUUUCAUCCCCAACGGCCCCAAAGAUUAGGGAUCCUCCGCAGACUUUGUUGCCAAUUAAAGCACUUGUUGCUAUAUAGUUGUUAGGUAAUCACCAGAGCCAUUAUUCAUCACGAGGUUACGUGGGCUACUUUGACGAUAAAUGUCUAUUUAUUUUAUUGCAAUGCAAUUCAGAGAUGUUUGCUUUUCCACAAAGUAAGAAACAUGACAUUUGAUAAUAUGCUGAAUUUGUUUUAGCAAUUGUAGUGUUAGAUUUAGCACAGAAAACAGUAAUAAGGCAUAAAGGUUUAUAUGAACCUACUCAGAAGGUCAUGAAGAAGGAAAAAAGUUUCAUCUCACAGCAGCAAUAUGACUGUAAUUCAUCAUCAUAUAAAUUAGGUGUGGCUAUUAUUAGUGUUGUAAAUAAACCUCUUUUCCUGCUGUCAGCAUUUUAAACAGCACUAUCAGAUGAUGAUCUAUCCACCCUGUGUGUCAUUAUGUUUUUUAUGAUUUUUAUGACAAGGGCUAAAUCUUCUUAGCUGUCUUUUUUGUGUAGUG
This is a long non-coding RNA of Thunnus maccoyii (southern bluefin tuna), 918 nucleotides long. RefSeq lists it as uncharacterized. The record is from RefSeq and is a predicted model, not a curated record. Lineage: Eukaryota; Metazoa; Chordata; Actinopteri; Scombriformes; Scombridae. The transcript is spliced from 3 exons.